This 481-nucleotide ribosomal RNA is filed under the name uncultured bacterium. Its description in RNAcentral is "partial 16S ribosomal RNA". It matches the Rfam family "Bacterial small subunit ribosomal RNA", at positions 28 to 505 of the family's 1533-position model. The record is from RNAcentral.
GACGAACGCUGGCGGCGUGCUUAACACAUGCAAGUCGAACGAUGAAGCGGGUGCUUGCACUCGUGGAUUAGUGGCGAACGGGCGAGUAACACGUGAGUAACCUGUCCUUUUCUUUGGGGUAACGGCUGGAAACGGCUGCUAAUACUGGAUAUUCAGGCUGCAUCGCAUGGUGUGGUUUGGAAAGGUUUUUUCUGGGAUUGGGUGGGCUCGCGGCCUAUCAGCUUGUUGGUGGGGUGAUGGCUUACCAAGGCUUUGACGGGUAGCCGGCCUGAGAGGGUGGUGGGGCGGAGAGGGGGUGAAGACCCGUCCGGGAUGCAGCGGGGGGGAAUAGUGGGGAAUAGUGGCAAAUGGGCGAAAGUUUGACGGAGCGGCGGCAGGUGGAGGUGGGAUGGCUUAGGUGUUUGGAUCCCUUUUUCCCGCGGAAAAGGCAUAGGUUUGGGUUUGGUGGGUGUCGAGGGAGAAAGAACCCGCGCAAACUGCG